GACGAACGCUGGCGGCGUGCUUAACACAUGCAAGUCGAACGGAAAGGCCCUGCUUUUGUGGGGUGCUCGAGUGGCGAACGGGUGAGUAACACGUGAGUAACCUGCCCUUGACUUUGGGAUAACUUCAGGAAACUGGGGCUAAUACAGGCUAGGAGCUCCUGAUGCAUGGUGGGGGUUGGAACGUUUCGGCGGUAGGGGAUGGACUCGCGGCUUAUCAGCUUGUUGGUGGGGUAGUGGCUUACCAAGGCUUAGACGGGUAGCCGGCCCGGGAGGGGGACCGGCGACAUGGGGCCUACGAUACGGACCAGAGGCCAACGUUAGGCAGUAGUGGGGAACAUUGCACAGUGGGGGGAAGCCUGAUGCAGCAACGCCGCGUGCGGGAUGACGGCCUUCGGGUUGUAAACCGCUUUCGCCUGUGACGAAGCGUGAGUGACGGUAACGGGUAAAGAAGCACCGGCUAACUACGUG
This 468-nucleotide ribosomal RNA is filed under the name uncultured bacterium. RNAcentral's name for it is "partial 16S ribosomal RNA". It matches the Rfam family "Bacterial small subunit ribosomal RNA", at positions 28 to 507 of the family's 1533-position model. The record is from RNAcentral.